GGCCAAGCAAGGUGUAGGCAACUCAAGUGGUAGCCAGUUUUACUACCAUUUCAUGUCUGAUGGCCUUGGACACUGCCUGCCCGAGAGACAAUUAUAAAAACAUAAUUGUCUGCUUCUGUUUAUGAAAUGCUACAUCAUAUGGCAAAUUAACAGCAUUUACAGAGUUCUAAAAUACCCUGAAAAGGAGAAGAGAAAGAAAUAGCAUUCAAGUCUCCUGCCUCCAAAGUGUUGUGGGGGAGAUGAGGACGUCCUAUACCUAUCCUGAUCGCUGCAUUUACCGUGCUGUCCCUUAGCUGCUGACUGCACUGAUCUGAAGUGACUUCACUGAACCCGAGGGUGGAGGGAUGAGCAGGAGCAGAUCUUUUUCUAUGAAGAUUUUUGUUUUCUAUCAUGUUUAAAUAUAUGAAAUUUCAUAGCUAUUUUCCAAUAGCUAUAUAUUUGCUUAAAAAGACUUGUGCAAAAAAAAAAAGACUUGUGCAAAUAUAAAGAUUUACAAGUGGCA
Canis lupus familiaris (dog) is the source of this 502-nucleotide long non-coding RNA. RefSeq lists it as uncharacterized. NCBI's taxonomy places the organism in Eukaryota, Metazoa, Chordata, Mammalia, Carnivora, Canidae. The transcript has 3 exons. The record is from RefSeq and is a predicted model, not a curated record.